GACGAACGCUGGCGGCGUGCUUAACACAUGCAAGUCGUACGGUAAGGCCCUUUCGGGGGUCCACGAGUGGCGAACGGGUGAGUAACACGUGAGUAACCUGCCCACAACUUUGGGAUAACGCUAGGAAACUGGUGCUAAUACUGGAUAUGUGCUCCUGCUGCAUGGUGGGGGUUGGAAAGCUCCGGCGGUUGUGGAUGGACUCGCGGCCUAUCAGCUUGUUGGUGGGGUAGUGGCCUACCAAGGCGGCGACGGGUAGCCGGCCUGAGAGGGUGACCGGCCACAUUGGGACUGAGAUACGGCCCAGACUCCUACGGGAGGCAGCAGUGGGGAAUAUUGCACAAUGGGCGCAAGCCUGAUGCAGCAACGCCGCGUGCGGGAUGACGGCCUUCGGGUUGUAAACCGCUUUCAGCAGGGACGAAGCUUUUUGUGACGGUACCUGCAGAAGGAGCACCGGCUAACUACGUG
Molecule: ribosomal RNA, 465 nt
Filed under: uncultured bacterium
Lineage: Bacteria
Description: partial 16S ribosomal RNA
Rfam family: Bacterial small subunit ribosomal RNA
Source: RNAcentral